Molecule: long non-coding RNA, 887 nt
Filed under: Cucumis sativus (cucumber)
Lineage: Eukaryota; Viridiplantae; Streptophyta; Magnoliopsida; Cucurbitales; Cucurbitaceae
Description: long non-coding RNA (CSAT_LNC001626)
Source: RNAcentral
UGAGAAUUAAUUAAAAGCACAGUUGGUUUGUUUAAGCACAGACAAUCAAAUAUGAUUUAAUUGAUAUCUUACUAUAAGAAUUAAGGUCUUUUCCAAUGCACCAACACGUUGCCAAAAAUCCUUAUAAACGUCACGGAAGGUUACAGCGACGUCGUGCAUGACGUCGGCAGAUAUGUCGCAAAAAGCCCAUCAGGGAUACUUUUCACGAUGGAUCUUGUGCCAACAACGACAAAACUUUUUCCAGUGCACCAUUCAGUAUGUUGCAUAAGGCUUUCACGACAUCUGCGUCAGAAAAGGUUUUUUAUUAUUUUUUAUUAUAUUCAGUCUUUUUUAUUUUAUUAUUAUAUUUUUAUUAUUUAUUUUAGUAAGGCUCAACGUAAUAAAAUUUUUAGUAAAAUGAUUAAAAUGAAAAUAUUAUUCAUUAUAAAAUGAUAAAUGAAAUAAUAUGUUCAAUACAAAAAAACAAUUACAUAAUUCAAAACAUUACAUUAAAAAAAAAUUGAAAUCUAAUGCUCUAGUACAUUGUAGGUACAGAUGUCAAACCUACAAAUGACAUAAAAGUAUAGUUAGAAUAUCACAUAUGGAAAGUUAAACAAAUUAAAUAUUAAAAAAGUGCGUACCCAAGUGAUCACGAGCCUCUUUGUGCUUGACUCAUCUCCUCGAGCAUCUUCUUCAUCUCUUCCAUUUUUCAUGCAUGAUCUGCUAUUUGUCGAUCUCAAUCCUCCUCCCCCAGGUGUUAUUCUUGGAGCAUUCGGUUAGCGUUUUCAAGGCUCACUCUUAGUUUGCUAACCUCUGUUAUGUGUGUCUGGUAGCCAUACAUACUAAAAGAAGAAGAUGAAGCAACAAUCCUAUACUAGGGUUUUGGGCCCCAACCAAGACCUUUUGAC